UGGGGAAUAUUGCACAAUGGGCGAAAGCCUGAUGCAGCAACGCCGCGUGAGGGAUGACGGCCUUCGGGUUGUAAACCUCUUUUAGUAGGGAAGAAGCGAAAGUGACGGUACCUGCAGAAAAAGCACCGGCUAACUACGUGCCAGCAGCCGCGGUAAUACGUAGGGUGCAAGCGUUGUCCGGAAUUAUUGGGCGUAAAGAGCUCGUAGGCGGUUUGUCGCGUCUGUUGUGAAAUCCCGAGGCUCAACCUCGGGCUUGCAGUGGGUACGGGCAGACUAGAGUGCGGUAGGGGAGAUUGGAAUUCCUGGUGUAGCGGUGGAAUGCGCAGAUAUCAGGAGGAACACCGAUGGCGAAGGCAGAUCUCUGGGCCGUAACUGACGCUGAGGAGCGAAAGCAUGGGGAGCGAACAGGAUUAGAUACCCUGGUAGUCCAUGCCGUAAACGUUGGGCGCUAGAUGUAGGGACCUUUCCACGGUUUCUGUGUCGUAGCUAACGCAUUAAGCGCCCCGCCUGGGGAGUACGGCCGCAAGGCUA
RNAcentral lists this ribosomal RNA (531 nucleotides) under uncultured bacterium. RNAcentral describes it as "bacterial SSU rRNA". It matches the Rfam family "Bacterial small subunit ribosomal RNA", at positions 355 to 896 of the family's 1533-position model. The record is from RNAcentral.